AAAACCACCCCAGCGACGUUCAUAGAAUGGCGCAAUAUGUUCGAUAUUAAAAUAACCUGACUUAUUAGUCCGAAUUCAGACAAAUAUAAACAAUUUUCGCUUAAUAUUAAAAAUACUAACCGAUAAAAGAUAUUACUUGAACAUGUAAAUUCACUUUCUUUAAACAACAAAAAACCGCCAAAAACAGGCGGUUAUUUGUUGCCGGUUUGGU
This 211-nucleotide small RNA is filed under the name Shigella dysenteriae 1012. RNAcentral's name for it is "IS128 RNA". It matches the Rfam family "IS128 RNA". From Rfam's summary of the family: This family consists of a number of bacterial RNA genes of 209 bases in length. The IS128 RNA gene is present in Escherichia coli and Shigella flexneri and where it is found between the sseA and sseB genes. Lineage: Bacteria; Pseudomonadati; Pseudomonadota; Gammaproteobacteria; Enterobacterales; Enterobacteriaceae. The record is from Rfam by way of RNAcentral.